Hypomontagnella submonticulosa is the source of this 92-nucleotide non-coding RNA. Lineage: Eukaryota; Fungi; Ascomycota; Sordariomycetes; Xylariales; Hypoxylaceae. The record is from the annotation of a GenBank genome assembly.
CCCUUGGUGGUCUAGUUGGUUAUGGCGUUCGGCUGUAAUGGAGAAAUCUAAUUGUUACCGAAAUGUCGCUGGUUCGAUUCCGGCCCGAGGGA